This 406-nucleotide ribosomal RNA is filed under the name uncultured bacterium. Its description in RNAcentral is "partial 16S ribosomal RNA". It matches the Rfam family "Bacterial small subunit ribosomal RNA", at positions 30 to 526 of the family's 1533-position model. The record is from RNAcentral.
AUUGAACGCUGGCGGCAGGCCUAACACAUGCAAGUCGAACGAGUGGCGGACGGGUGAGUAAUGUCUGGGCAACUGCCUGAUGGAGGGGUAUAACUACUGGAAACGGUAGCUAAUACCGCAUACCAUCGGAUGUGCCCAGAUGGGAUGAGCGAGUAGGUGUGGUAAAGGCUCACCUAGGCGACGAUCCCUAGCUGGUCUGAGAGGAAGACCAGCCACACUGGAACUGAGCAACGGUCCAUGCUCCGACGUGAGGCAGCAGUGGGGAAUAUUGGGCAAUGGGCGCAAGCCUGAUGCAGCCAUGCCGCGUGAAUGAAGAAGGCCGUCGGGUUGUAAAGUACUUGCAGCAGGGAGGCGUUACCCAACGAAGAAGCACCGGCUAACUCCGUGCCAGCAGCCGCGGUAAUUC